GAGAGAGAAACAGAGAGAGAAUGUAGGUAGAGAUAAACAGAGAGAACAGAGAGAGAGGGAGAGAGAAACAGAGAGAGAAUGUAGGUAGAGAUAAACAGAGAGAACAGAGAGAGAGGGAGAGAGAAACAGAGAGAGAAUGUAGGUAGAGAUAAACAGAGAGAACAGAGAGAGAGGGAGAGAGAAACAGAGAGAGAAUGUAGGUAGAGAUAAACAGAGAUAACAGAGAGAGAGGGAGAGAGAAACAGAGAAAGCACAUGCUUUCUCUGUUUAUCAGAAUGAAUGUUUUCUUCUGUAAUAUGUGACUCCUUUUUUGUUUUAGUAUAGGUUUAGAGUUUUGAAUUACAUCAAAAUAAAAAGUACAAUCAUUGGUAUAAAUGUGCAACAAUAUGGAGACAUAGGGAGGGACAUGGACCAAGGUGUGGAAUGAUGAUGAUGAGAACAGGGUGACAACUUAUCUAAAGAUGGAUCACAGCCUAACUUCCACUUAAGUAAAAUUACCACUUAUUCAUUUAUUAAUGUCAAUGGGAGACUGGGUGACAAUUUGGCUUGAGGAUUGACCCCUUAGUUUAUACAUGGUCUAACCGGAGGUGGCAUUAGUUUUACAUGACACUAAGUUCCUGGAGUGACAGUCAGUGCAGAUGGAGCCAAACUAUCUGACUUAAGACCAUUCAAACGUAUGUAUUUGAAAUCGGAGACUCAAGUACUAUUCUACAUUUCAAAUGAGUCAUUGAAUUUGUGACUAAAGCUUUGGGUUGGUGGACCAGCAGAGCUCCUUACCCUGUGGAUGCAGGAAAAACAAGUGUUGGAUCAAUGACUUCUUCUAACAGCCCUGCUGACUAGUAGAGCGAACAAGCAUCUCUCUGCUGGAGUUCUUACUUAGAGUCUGUAUCACCAAUGGCACACUAUUCUCUAUAUAGUGCACUACUUUCAACCAGAGACUCGGUUUAGUCUGGUAUAAAGGGGAGAGGGUAUCAUUUGGGAGUCACACAGUGACACAGCUGUUACAGUCACCCUUUACAGGCUAGUUUAAACAGCCUGUUGCGAGUCUAAAACCGCACACCUUUUGCGUAACCCUUUAC
Molecule: long non-coding RNA, 1079 nt
Organism: Oncorhynchus tshawytscha (Chinook salmon)
Lineage: Eukaryota; Metazoa; Chordata; Actinopteri; Salmoniformes; Salmonidae
Source: Ensembl